AAUUUUUUGUUCUUCAAUUUUGGAUUCUAUUCUGGGCAACUUUUCUUAUGGGAGUAAUUCAUUGGUGGUGAGUCUGGAUACUUAUGUUUCCAAUUUGAGUUAUAUGCUUCUUGACCAAAAAAAAAAAUUUGAGUUAUAUGCUUCUCCCUCCUCUACUUUGUGAAAAAGCAAAUCAUUAAUAAUAUGUACAGUAUUAGUAUGAUAUGGAUGGUUCAACUUUUAUUAAAAAUCUCUUCGUCCCAUUCAUCAUUAAUGAUCAUUCCUGCAAUUUAUUCACUUUUAAAAGACAUCAUUUUUUUAAAAAUUAUAAUCAUAAGUUUGAGUCAUUUGACUCAUUUCUUCAUAUUGUAAAAUCAAUUCUAUAUACUAAGCAAUUGGUGGAAAUUUUCUUGAGUGAAAUAUACUUUGUUUCAGGCUAAUGCUUAUGUAAAGGUAAAGGGAGCAAUUGCUUGAAAUUUUCCAACACAGGCAAAUGAAGGUAGCAAUGUCAUGUUUCUCAAUCAAAUCUUGCUUUAGUUUGGUGGCAAUAUGUUUGGAAUCUGCUCAGCCCUUCAAUCUAUGUCCUGCAAGAACAAAUGAAAGCAAAAGGCAUGGAAGAUGUAUGGCGAGAAGAGUUGAUAGAGGACAUUGAGCAAAAGAUUGGGAUUCAAGGAAAUGGAAAAUGCAAGAAAGAAAGUGGAACUUGCUUACCAAACAUCAAUUUUUCCAAGACAUUCUGAAAUAACUUUUCCCAGCAUCAUUUUCCGCGGCUAAUAUCCAAGCAACUUAUUCUCUAGACUAUUGGUCAUUCUGUGAAAAGCUUUGUUAAUUUAUUUUGCGUGUGUUUGCAGCUGUUUGGAUUAUUAAGAACAUAUGAGAAUAUGGUUUGGAUUACUUAAAAUCACAUUGUGCUUGCCACAUGUUAGUCAACUGAUAAA
Neltuma alba is the source of this 917-nucleotide long non-coding RNA. RefSeq lists it as uncharacterized. NCBI's taxonomy places the organism in Eukaryota, Viridiplantae, Streptophyta, Magnoliopsida, Fabales, Fabaceae. The record is from RefSeq and is a predicted model, not a curated record. The transcript is spliced from 2 exons.